UACGAAGGGUGCAAGCGUUACUCGGAAUUACUGGGCGUAAAGCGUACGUAGGCGGCUUUGUAAGUUAGAGGUGAAAGCCCGGGGCUCAACUCCGGAAUUGCCUUUAAGACUGCAUCGCUUGAAUCAUGGAGAGGUGAGUGGAAUUCCGAGUGUAGAGGUGAAAUUCGUAGAUAUUCGGAAGAACACCAGUGGCGAAGGCGACUCACUGGACAUGUAUUGACGCUGAGGUACGAAAGCGUGGGGAGCAAACAGG
This 253-nucleotide ribosomal RNA is filed under the name uncultured bacterium. Its description in RNAcentral is "partial 16S ribosomal RNA". It matches the Rfam family "Bacterial small subunit ribosomal RNA", at positions 524 to 776 of the family's 1533-position model. The record is from RNAcentral.